UACGUAGGGGGCUAGCGUUGUCCGGAGUUAUUGGGCGUAAAGAGCGUGUAGGCGGCCAGGUAGGUCCGCUGUGAAAGUCCGAGGCUCAACCUCGGAAUGUCGGCGGAAACCCUCUGGCUAGAGUCCGGAAGAGGAGAGUGGAAUUCCCGGUGUAGCGGUGAAAUGCGCAGAUAUCGGGAAGAACACCCGUGGCGAAGGCGGCUCUCUGGAACGGUACUGACGCUGAGACGCGAAAGCGUGGGGAGCGAACAGG
RNAcentral lists this ribosomal RNA (253 nucleotides) under uncultured bacterium. RNAcentral's name for it is "partial 16S ribosomal RNA". It matches the Rfam family "Bacterial small subunit ribosomal RNA", at positions 524 to 776 of the family's 1533-position model. The record is from RNAcentral.